UUGAAUUAUUAAAAGUUCUGGCUUUAUGUAAUAAAGAAAUUAAUAAUGUUGUGUUGAAGAAUACUGCUGACAAUCUCAAACUUACAUCUCUUGAUAUUCAAAAAGACAAAGGCUUUCAUUAUAGAUUUGGGAGAUGAUUUGCUCUCUAUUUUAGUUGAUGAAUGUCGAGAUGUAUCAAUUAAAGAGCAAAUGGGAGUUGUCA
RNAcentral lists this unclassified non-coding RNA (202 nucleotides) under Hevea brasiliensis (rubber tree). The record is from RNAcentral. Lineage: Eukaryota; Viridiplantae; Streptophyta; Magnoliopsida; Malpighiales; Euphorbiaceae.